GACGAACGCUGGCGGCGUGCUUAACACAUGCAAGUCGAACGGUAAGGCCCUUCGGGGUACACGAGUGGCGAACGGGUGAGUAACACGUGGGUGAUCUGCCCUGCACUUCGGGAUAAGCCUGGGAAACUGGGUCUAAUACCGGAUAGGACCACUGCCUGCAUGUGUGGUGGUGGAAAGCUUUUGCGGUGUGGGAUGGGCCCGCGGCCUACCAGCGUGUUGGUGGGGUGAUGGCCUACCAAGGCGACGACGGGUAGCCGGCCGGAGAGAGUGACGGGCAACACGGGGGCUGGGAUACGGCCCAGACUCCUACGGGAGGCAGGAGUGGGGAAUAUUGCACAAUGGGCGCAAGCCUGAUGCAGCGGCGCCGCGUGAGGGAUGGCGGCCUUCGGUUUGUAAACCUCUUUCAGCACCGACGAAGCGCAAGUGACGGUAGGUGCAGAAGAAGGACCGGCCAACUACGUGCCAGCCGCCGCAGUAA
This 478-nucleotide ribosomal RNA is filed under the name uncultured bacterium. Its description in RNAcentral is "partial 16S ribosomal RNA". It matches the Rfam family "Bacterial small subunit ribosomal RNA", at positions 28 to 523 of the family's 1533-position model. The record is from RNAcentral.